This 253-nucleotide ribosomal RNA is filed under the name uncultured bacterium. RNAcentral describes it as "partial 16S ribosomal RNA". It matches the Rfam family "Bacterial small subunit ribosomal RNA", at positions 524 to 776 of the family's 1533-position model. The record is from RNAcentral.
UACGUAGGGGGCAAGCGUUGUCCGGAAUCAUUGGGCGUAAAGAGCGCGUAGGCGGUCCUGUAAGUCCGCUCUGAAAGUCCGGGGCUCAACCCCGGGAGGCGGGCGGAUACUGUCGGGCUAGAGUCCGGAAGAGGCGAGUGGAAUUCCUGGUGUAGCGGUGGAAUGCGCAGAUAUCAGGAGGAACACCGAUGGCGAAGGCAGCUCGCUGGGACGGUACUGACGCUGAGGCGCGAAAGCGUGGGGAGCGAACAGG